GAUGAACGCUGGCGGCGUGCCUAAUACAUGCAAGUCGAGCGAACGGACGAGAAGCUUGCUUUUCUGAUGUUAGCGGCGGACGGGUGAGUAACACGUGUAUAACCUACCUAUAAGACUGGGAUAACUUCGGGAAACCGGAGCUAAUACCGGAUAAUAUUUUGAACCGCAUGGUUCAAAAGUGAAAGACGGUCUUGCUGUCACUUAUAGAUGGAUCCGCGCUGCAUUAGCUAGUUGGUAAGGUAACGGCUUACCAAGGCAACGAUGCAUAGCCGACCUGAGAGAGUGAUCGGCCACACUGGAACUGAGACACGGUCCAGACUCCUACGGGAGGCAGCAGUAGGGAAUCUUCCGCAAUGGGCGAAAGCCUGACGGAGCAACGCCGCGUGAGUGAUGAAGGUCUUCGGAUCGUAAAACUCUGUUAUUAGGGAAGAACAUAUGUGUAAGUAACUGUGCACAUCUUGACGGUACCUAAUCAGAAAGCCACGGCUAACUACGUG
RNAcentral lists this ribosomal RNA (497 nucleotides) under uncultured bacterium. Its description in RNAcentral is "partial 16S ribosomal RNA". It matches the Rfam family "Bacterial small subunit ribosomal RNA", at positions 28 to 507 of the family's 1533-position model. The record is from RNAcentral.